GGCAGAAGCGGAGCCGCUGUGGCUCUGCUGCGCCACUGCUGCGCCUCGGGUGUCUUUUGCGGCGGUGGGUCGCCGCCGGAAGAAGCCUGAGGGGACAGAUUUGUGACCGGCGCGGUUUUUGUCAGCUUACUCCGGCCAAAAAAGAACUGCACCUCUGGAGCGGACUUAUUUACCAAGCAUUGGAGGAAUAUUGUAGGUAAAAAUGCCUAUUGGAUCCAAAGAGAGGCCAACAUUUUUUGAAAUUUUUAAGACACGCUGCAACAAAAUUUAGGACCAAUAAGUCUUAAUUGGUUUGAAGAACUUUCUUCAGAAGCUCCACCCUAUAAUUCUGAACCUGCAGAAGAAUCUGAACAUAAAAACAACAAUUAUGAACCAAACCUAUUUAAAACUCCACAAAGGAAACCAUCUUAUAAUCAGCUGGCUUCAACUCCAAUAAUAUUCAAAGAGCAAGGGCUGACUCUGCCACUGUACCAAUCUCCUGUAAAAGAAUUAGAUAAAUUCAAAUUAGACUUAGGAAGGAAUGUUCCCAAUAGUAGACAUAAAAGUCUUUGCACAGUGAAAACUAAAAUGGAUCAAGCAGAUGAUGUUUCCUGUCCACUUCUAAAUUCUUGUCUUAGUGAAAGUCCUGUUGUUCUACAAUGCACACAUGUAACACCACAAAGAGAUAAGUCAGUGGUAUGUGGGAGUUUGUUUCAUACACCAAAGUUUGUGAAGGGUCGUCAGACACCAAAACAUAUUUCUGAAAGUCUAGGAGCUGAGGUGGAUCCUGAUAUGUCUUGGUCAAGUUCUUUAGCUACACCACCCACCCUUAGUUCUACUGUGCUCAUAGUCAGAAAUGAAGAAGCAUCUGAAACUGUAUUUCCUCAUGAUACUACUGCUAAUGUGAAAAGCUAUUUUUCUAAUCAUGAUGAAAGUCUGAAGAAAAAUGAUAGAUUUAUAGCUUCUGUGACAGACAGUGAAAACACAAAUCAAAGAGAAGCUACAAGUCAUGGAUUUGGAAAAACAUCAGGGAAUUCAUUUAAAGUAAAUAGCUGCAAAGACCACACUGGAAAGUCAAUGCCAAAUGUCCUAGAGGAUGAAGUAUAUGAAACAGUUGUAGAUACCUCUGAAGAAGAUAGUUUUUCAUUAUGUUUUUCUAAAUGUAGAACAAAAAAUCUACAAAAAGUAAGAACUAGCAAGACUAGGAAAAAAAUUUUCCAUGAAGCAAACGCUGAUGAAUGUGAAAAAUCUAAAAACCAAGUGAAAGAAAAAUACUCAUUUGUAUCUGAAGUGGAACCAAAUGAUACUGAUCCAUUAGAUUCAAAUGUAGCAAAUCAGAAGCCCUUUGAGAGUGGAAGUGACAAAAUCUCCAAGGAAGUUGUACCGUCUUUGGCCUGUGAAUGGUCUCAACUAACCCUUUCAGGUCUAAAUGGAGCCCAGAUGGAGAAAAUACCCCUAUUGCAUAUUUCUUCAUGUGACCAAAAUAUUUCAGAAAAAGACCUAUUAGACACAGAGAACAAAAGAAAGAAAGAUUUUCUUACUUCAGAGAAUUCUUUGCCACGUAUUUCUAGCCUACCAAAAUCAGAGAAGCCAUUAAAUGAGGAAACAGUGGUAAAUAAGAGAGAUGAAGAGCAGCAUCUUGAAUCUCAUACAGACUGCAUUCUUGCAGUAAAGCAGGCAAUAUCUGGAACUUCUCCAGUGGCUUCUUCAUUUCAGGGUAUCAAAAAGUCUAUAUUCAGAAUAAGAGAAUCACCUAAAGAGACUUUCAAUGCAAGUUUUUCAGGUCAUAUGACUGAUCCAAACUUUAAAAAAGAAACUGAAGCCUCUGAAAGUGGACUGGAAAUACAUACUGUUUGCUCACAGAAGGAGGACUCCUUAUGUCCAAAUUUAAUUGAUAAUGGAAGCUGGCCAGCCACCACCACACAGACUUCUGUAGCUUUGAAGAAUGCAGGUUUAAUAUCCACUUUGAAAAAGAAAACAAAUAAGUUUAUUUAUGCUAUACAUGAUGAAACAUCUUAUAAAGGAAAAAAAA
RNAcentral lists this small RNA (2011 nucleotides) under Pan troglodytes (chimpanzee). Its description in RNAcentral is "processed transcript". Lineage: Eukaryota; Metazoa; Chordata; Mammalia; Primates; Hominidae. The record is from RNAcentral.